UACGUAGGGCGCAAGCGUUAUCCGGAAUUAUUGGGCGUAAAGAGCUCGUAGGCGGUUUGUCGCGUCUGCCGUGAAAGUCCGGGGCUCAACUCCGGAUCUGCGGUGGGUACGGGCAGACUAGAGUGAUGUAGGGGAGACUGGAAUUCCUGGUGUAGCGGUGAAAAUGCGCAGAUAUCAGGAGGAACACCGAUGGCGAAGGCAGGUCUCUGGGCAUUAACUGACGCUGAGGAGCGAAAGCAUGGGGGAGCGAACAGG
RNAcentral lists this ribosomal RNA (255 nucleotides) under uncultured bacterium. Its description in RNAcentral is "partial 16S ribosomal RNA". It matches the Rfam family "Bacterial small subunit ribosomal RNA", at positions 524 to 776 of the family's 1533-position model. The record is from RNAcentral.